GGAGGGAUGACGGAGCGGUUGAACGUGACGGUCUUGAAAACCGUUGAGCCUUAACGGGUUCCCAGGGUUCGAAUCCCUGUCCCUCCG
The sequence is a transfer RNA, 87 nucleotides long. It matches the Rfam family "tRNA". Rfam says of the family: Transfer RNA (tRNA) molecules are approximately 80 nucleotides in length.